This is a long non-coding RNA of Coregonus clupeaformis (lake whitefish), 202 nucleotides long. RefSeq lists it as uncharacterized. The transcript is spliced from 3 exons. The record is from RefSeq and is a predicted model, not a curated record. Lineage: Eukaryota; Metazoa; Chordata; Actinopteri; Salmoniformes; Salmonidae.
AGAGCCUGUUAACCCAAUGGUUUUUGGGGUUGCAGCAGGAACUCUGGGGGUCUUUCUGCUUAUCAGCCUGAUCAGUCUUUUUGGAUGGAGGAGAAACUCUAGGCUCCCCGAUGGACUUGAAAGGACGGACAAUCCACAGGGACAGAACUCCCCGGUUGGGACGGUGUGUGUUAACCAGACCACAGCCGGAGAGAAACCAGAG